Molecule: ribosomal RNA, 468 nt
Filed under: uncultured bacterium
Lineage: Bacteria
Description: bacterial SSU rRNA
Rfam family: Bacterial small subunit ribosomal RNA
Source: RNAcentral
AACGAACGCUGGCGGCAGGCCUAACACAUGCAAGUCGAACGCUCGUAGCAAUACGGGAGUGGCAGACGGGUGAGUAACACGUGGGAACCUUCCCUAUGGUUCGGAAUAGCUCAGGGAAACUUGGGGUAAUACCGGAUAAGCCCUUCGGGGGAAAGGAUUUAUCGCCAUUGGAUGGGCCCGCGUCGGAUUAGCUAGUUGGUGAGGUAACGGCUCACCAAGGCAACGAUCCGUAGCUGGUCUGAGAGGAUGAUCAGCCACACUGGGACUGAGACACGGCCCAGACUCCUACGGGAGGCAGCAGUGGGGAAUACUGGACAAUGGGCGCAAGCCUGAUCCAGCGAUGCCGCGUGUGUGAAGAAGGCCUGCGGGUUGUAAAGCACUUUCAGUAGGGAAGAAAAGCCGAGUGCUAAUAUCAUUCGGUCUUGACGUUACUUACAGAAGAGGCACCGGCUAACUCCGUGCCAGCAG